Molecule: ribosomal RNA, 894 nt
Filed under: Bacillus sp. X2(2016)
Lineage: Bacteria; Bacillati; Bacillota; Bacilli; Caryophanales; Bacillaceae
Description: bacterial SSU rRNA
Rfam family: Bacterial small subunit ribosomal RNA
Source: RNAcentral
UCUCCAGGGCGACGAUGCGUAGCCGCCCUGAGAGGGUGUUCGGCCACACUGGGACUGAGACACGGCCCAGACUCCUACGGGAGGCACCGGUAGGGGAUCUUCCCCAAUGGACGAAAGUCCGGACGGAGCAACGCCGGCGUGAGUGAUGAAGGCCUUCGGGUCCGUAAAACUCUGUUGGUAGGGAAGGAAACCAAGUCCCAGUUGAAUAAGCGGGCACCUUGACGGUACCUUACCAGAAAGCCACGGCUAACUACGUGCCACCAGCCGCGGUAAUACGUAGGUGGCAAGCGUUAUCCGGAAUUAUUGGGCGUAAAGCGCGCGCAGGUGGUUUCUUAAGUCUGAUGUGAAAGCCCACGGCUCACCCGUGGAGGGUCAUUGGAAACUGGGGAGACUUGAGUGCAGAAAGGGGAAAAAGUGGAAUUCCAUGUGUAGCGGUGAAAUGCGUAGAGAUAUGGAGGAACACCCAGUGGCGAAGGCGACUUUCUGGUCUGUAACUGACACUGAGGGCGCGAAAGCGUGGGGAGCAAACAGGAUUAGAUACCCGGGUAGUCCACGCCGUAAACGAUGAGUGCUAAGUGUUAGAGGGUUUCCGCCCUUUAGUGCUGAAGUUAACGCAUUAGGCCACUCCGCCUGGGAGAGUACGGCCGCAAGGCUAGACACUCAAAGGGAUUUGACGGGGGCCCGCACAAGCGGGUGGAGCAUGUGGUUUAUUUCGAAGCAACGCGAAGAUCCUUCCCAGUGUCUUGACAUCCUCUGAACACUCGUAGAGAUAGAGCUUCUCCUUCGGGAGCCGCACGUGACAGGUGGUGCAUGGUUGUCGCCAGCUUCGUGUCGUGAGAUGUUGGGUUAGGUUCCGCACCGAGCGCAACCCUUGAUCUUACUUGCCAUCAUUAA